RNAcentral lists this ribosomal RNA (468 nucleotides) under uncultured bacterium. RNAcentral describes it as "partial 16S ribosomal RNA". It matches the Rfam family "Bacterial small subunit ribosomal RNA", at positions 28 to 523 of the family's 1533-position model. The record is from RNAcentral.
GAUGAACGCUGGCGGCGUGCCUAACACAUGCAAGUCGAGCGAUUCUCUUCGGAGAAGAGCGGCGGACGGGUGAGUAACGCGUGGGUAACCUGCCCUGUACACACGGAUAACAUACCGAAAGGUAUGCUAAUACGAGAUAAUAUGCUUUUAUCGUAUGGUAGAAGUAUCAAAGCUUUUGCGGUACAGGAUGGACCCGCGUCUGAUUAGCUAGUUGGUAAGGUAACGGCUUACCAAGGCGACGAUCAGUAGCCGACCUGAGAGGGUGAUCGGCCACAUUGGAACUGAGACACGGUCCAAACUCCUACGGGAGGCAGCAGUGGGGAAUAUUGCACAAUGGGCGAAAGCCUGAUGCAGCAACGCCGCGUGAGCGAUGAAGGCCUUCGGGUCGUAAAGCUCUGUCCUCAAGGAAGAUAAUGACGAUACUUGAGGAGGAAGCCCCGGCUAACUACGUGCCAGCCGCCGCGGUAA